AUUGAACGCUGGCGGCAUGCUUUACACAUGCAAGUCGAACGGUAACAGGGUGCUUGCACCGCUGACGAGUGGCGAACGGGUGAGUAAUGCGUCGGAACGCACCGAGUAACGGGGGAUAACGCAGCGAAAGCUGUGCUAAUACCGCAUACGCUCUGAGGAGGAAAGCGGGGGACCUUCGGGCCUCGCGUUAUUCGAGCGGCCGACGUCUGAUUAGCUAGUAGGUGAGGUAAGAGCUCACCUAGGCGACGAUCAGUAGCGGGUCUGAGAGGAUGAUCCGCCACACUGGGACUGAGACACGGCCCAGACUCCUACGGGAGGCAGCAGUGGGGAAUUUUGGACAAUGGGCGCAAGCCUGAUCCAGCCAUGCCGCGUGUCUGAAGAAGGCCUUCGGGUUGUAAAGGACUUUUGUCAGGGAGGAAAUCCUUAGCGCUAAUACCGUUGAGGGAUGACAGUACCUGAAGAAUAAGCACCGGCUAACUACGUGCCAGCAGCCGCUGUAA
This 500-nucleotide ribosomal RNA is filed under the name uncultured bacterium. Its description in RNAcentral is "partial 16S ribosomal RNA". It matches the Rfam family "Bacterial small subunit ribosomal RNA", at positions 30 to 523 of the family's 1533-position model. The record is from RNAcentral.